RNAcentral lists this ribosomal RNA (539 nucleotides) under uncultured bacterium. RNAcentral's name for it is "bacterial SSU rRNA". It matches the Rfam family "Bacterial small subunit ribosomal RNA", at positions 774 to 1314 of the family's 1533-position model. The record is from RNAcentral.
AGUCAAUAGAUACCCUGGUAGUCCAUGCCGUAAACGAUGAUUGCUAGGUGUGGGGGGUCCGACCCCUUCCGUGCCGGAGUUAAACACAAAUAAGCAAUCCACCUGGGGAGUACGGCCGCAAGGUUGAAACUCAAAGGAAUUGACGGGGGCCCGCACAAGCAGUGGAGUAUGUGGUUUAAUUCGAAGCAACGCGAAGAACCUUACCAGGUCUUGACAUCCACCGAAUCCUGUAGAGAUACGGGAGUGCCCUUCGGGGAACGGUGAGACAGGUGGUGCAUGGUUGUCGUCAGCUCGUGUCGUGAGAUGUUGGGUUAAGUCCCGCAACGAGCGCAACCCUUGUGAAUAGUUGCUACGAAAGAGCACUCUAUUCAGACCGCCGUUGACAAAACGGAGGAAGGUGGGGAUGACGUCAAAUCAUCAUGCCCCUUAUGACCUGGGCUACACACGUACUACAAUGGCCGUUAACAGAGGGAUGCAAUGCCGCGAGGUGGAGCGAACCCCUAAAAACGGUCUCAGUUCAGAUUGCAGGCUGAAACUCG